RNAcentral lists this microRNA precursor (190 nucleotides) under Oryza sativa Indica Group (long-grained rice). RNAcentral's name for it is "MIR812 microRNA precursor family". It matches the Rfam family "MIR812 microRNA precursor family". The record is from Rfam by way of RNAcentral. Lineage: Eukaryota; Viridiplantae; Streptophyta; Magnoliopsida; Poales; Poaceae.
AAAAAGGCAAACCCUGAAUUUUCGUGUCCAACUUUAACGGUCCGUCUUAUAUGAAAUUUUUUUAUAAUUCGUAUUUUCAUUAUUGUUAGAUAAUAAAACAUGAUUAAUAUUUUAUGCGUGACUUGUCUUUUUAAUUUUUUUCAUAAUUUUUUCAAAUAAGACGGACGGUCAAACGUUAGACAUGGGAACC